CUGAUCCCCUCCCCAAAGUCUUAGAAGUGGCUGAAAAGGUUGCAUCUGAAAGGGCUGGGAAAACCUUGCAUACUGAAGCCAUUCAGGGAGAUGGAAAUAAGAAUACAGAUGUUCCUGCAACAUCUGUCAAUCCUACUACGGCAUCUGCUCAAGCUAAGAGGGUAGCAUCUGACACAGGAGGGGAAAAUUUGAGUGCCAAAGCCAUAGUGGAAGACCACAGUAAGAAGGGCAAGGGGGUUGCUUCUCCAUCUGUCAGUCCUACUAAGGACAAGAGUGAUCCUCCUCCAUCUGUCAAUCCUACUACAAAACCUGCUCAAGCUAAGGAGGGCAAUCAUGAAAGUCAAGCUUCCAUCCAUCAGAAUGAAGUUCCUAGACCUAGCUUAAUGGAAAGGAAUGGCACUGCUCGCAC
This 409-nucleotide long non-coding RNA is filed under the name Theobroma cacao (cacao). RNAcentral describes it as "long non-coding RNA (TCAC_LNC004123)". Lineage: Eukaryota; Viridiplantae; Streptophyta; Magnoliopsida; Malvales; Malvaceae. The record is from RNAcentral.